RNAcentral lists this ribosomal RNA (822 nucleotides) under uncultured bacterium. RNAcentral describes it as "bacterial SSU rRNA". It matches the Rfam family "Bacterial small subunit ribosomal RNA", at positions 8 to 803 of the family's 1533-position model. The record is from RNAcentral.
AGAGUUUGAUCAUGGCUCAGAACGAACGCUGGCGGCGUGGAUAAGACAUGCAAGUCGAACGAUCACUAUUGGGUAGCAAUAUUUGAUAGUGGUAGUGGCGCAAGGGUGCGUAACACGUGGGUAAUUUGCCGCGAAGUUGGGGAUAACUCGCUGAAAGGCGAGCUAAUACCGGAUGUGAUCAUUUGGUGGCAUCAUUGGAUGAUCAAAGUUGGGGACCGCAAGGCCUGACGCUUCGUGAUAAGCCCGCGGCCUAUCAGCUAGUUGGUGAGGUAACGGCUCACCAAGGCUAAGACGGGUAGCUGGUCUGAGAGGACGACCAGCCACACUGGAACUGAGAGACGGUCCAGACACCUACGGGUGGCAGCAGUCGAGAAUUUUUCUCAAUGGGGGAAACCCUGAAGGAGCGACGCCGCGUGGGGGAUGAAGGGCUUCGGCCUGUAAACCCCUGUCAUUUGCGAACAAACCUCAUUCAUGAACAAUGGGUGAGCUGAUUGUAGCGAAAGAGGAAGGGACGGCUAACUCUGUGCCAGCAGCCGCGGUAAUACAGAGGUCCCAAGCGUUGUUCGGAUUCACUGGGCGUAAAGGGUGCGUAGGCGGCCGGGUAAGUCUGGUGUGAAAGUUCGCAGCUCAACUGCGAAAAGUCAUUGGAUACUAUCCGGCUGGAGGAAUGGAGGGGGGACUGGAAUACUUGGUGUAGCAGUGAAAUGCGUAGAUAUCAAGUGGAACACCAGUGGCGANNNCGAGUCCCUGGACAUUUCCUGACGCUGAAGCACGAAAGCGUNNNGAGCAAACAGGANNAGNUACCCUGGUAGUCCACGCCCU